Molecule: ribosomal RNA, 1124 nt
Filed under: Escherichia coli
Lineage: Bacteria; Pseudomonadati; Pseudomonadota; Gammaproteobacteria; Enterobacterales; Enterobacteriaceae
Description: partial 23S ribosomal RNA
Rfam family: Bacterial large subunit ribosomal RNA
Source: RNAcentral
UGUAUAAUGGGUCAGCGACUUAUAUUCUGUAGCAAGGUUAACCGAAUAGGGGAGCCGAAGGGAAACCGAGUCUUAACUGGGCGUUAAGUUGCAGGGUAUAGACCCGAAACCCGGUGAUCUAGCCAUGGGCAGGUUGAAGGUUGGGUAACACUAACUGGAGGACCGAACCGACUAAUGUUGAAAAAUUAGCGGAUGACUUGUGGCUGGGGGUGAAAGGCCAAUCAAACCGGGAGAUAGCUGGUUCUCCCCGAAAGCUAUUUAGGUAGCGCCUCGUGAAUUCAUCUCCGGGGGUAGAGCACUGUUUCGGCAAGGGGGUCAUCCCGACUUACCAACCCGAUGCAAACUGCGAAUACCGGAGAAUGUUAUCACGGGAGACACACGGCGGGUGCUAACGUCCGUCGUGAAGAGGGAAACAACCCAGACCGCCAGCUAAGGUCCCAAAGUCAUGGUUAAGUGGGAAACGAUGUGGGAAGGCCCAGACAGCCAGGAUGUUGGCUUAGAAGCAGCCAUCAUUUAAAGAAAGCGUAAUAGCUCACUGGUCGAGUCGGCCUGCGCGGAAGAUGUAACGGGGCUAAACCAUGCACCGAAGCUGCGGCAGCGACGCUUAUGCGUUGUUGGGUAGGGGAGCGUUCUGUAAGCCUGCGAAGGUGUGCUGUGAGGCAUGCUGGAGGUAUCAGAAGUGCGAAUGCUGACAUAAGUAACGAUAAAGCGGGUGAAAAGCCCGCUCGCCGGAAGACCAAGGGUUCCUGUCCAACGUUAAUCGGGGCAGGGUGAGUCGACCCCUAAGGCGAGGCCGAAAGGCGUAGUCGAUGGGAAACAGGUUAAUAUUCCUGUACUUGGUGUUACUGCGAAGGGGGGACGGAGAAGGCUAUGUUGGCCGGGCGACGGUUGUCCCGGUUUAAGCGUGUAGGCUGGUUUUCCAGGCAAAUCCGGAAAAUCAAGGCUGAGGCGUGAUGACGAGGCACUACGGUGCUGAAGCAACAAAUGCCCUGCUUCCAGGAAAAGCCUCUAAGCAUCAGGUAACAUCAAAUCGUACCCCAAACCGACACAGGUGGUCAGGUAGAGAAUACCAAGGCGCUUGAGAGAACUCGGGUGAAGGAACUAGGCAAAAUGGUGCCGUAACU